GACGUAGGGGGCGAGCGUUGUCCGGAUUUACUGGGCGUAAAGGGCUCGUAGGCGGUUUGUCGCGUCGGGAGUGAAAACCCAGGGCUUAACUCUGGGCUUGCUUUCGAUACGGGCAGACUAGAGGCAUGCAGGGGAGAACGGAAUUCCUGGUGUAGCGGUGAAAUGCGCAGAUAUCAGGAGGAACACCGGUGGCGAAGGCGGUUCUCUGGGCAUGUCCUGACGCUGAGGAGCGAAAGUGUGGGGAGCGAACAGG
This 253-nucleotide ribosomal RNA is filed under the name uncultured bacterium. Its description in RNAcentral is "partial 16S ribosomal RNA". It matches the Rfam family "Bacterial small subunit ribosomal RNA", at positions 524 to 776 of the family's 1533-position model. The record is from RNAcentral.